Syzygium oleosum is the source of this 615-nucleotide long non-coding RNA. RefSeq lists it as uncharacterized. The record is from RefSeq and is a predicted model, not a curated record. The transcript is spliced from 2 exons. NCBI's taxonomy places the organism in Eukaryota, Viridiplantae, Streptophyta, Magnoliopsida, Myrtales, Myrtaceae.
CCUAUUUUUGUUGGGUUAUAUACAUAACGUUGUUUCUAUUCCUUAUAUUAUUCUGUGCAGAAUAAAAAAAUGUUGGUUGUAUCUUGGGAGGAUAGUUGUUAGAGCCUAUCCCACCAAGUGUUGUAUUCCGUGGGGCGGAGUUCUCAUUAAGGAUAAUUACCUUAUGGAUUCCCAAACUGGAACUACCGCUACUGAAAUUAAAGGAGGGCUUGGAGAUGAUGAAGGAUAAGUAUCGCACAGUUAUGGGCGGUUUAUGGUGGACAUUACGAGAUAUCUUAAAAAUGCUCCGUGGAUCCUUCGGCUCGACUACACUUGCUCCUCUGUGGAAAUUGGCGACCACUUUGUCUCCUCCAUUGAGGCUCGCCGUCACCUAAUCUGCACUAUCUUUGCAUCACCAUCUUAGCGGCUGCAACAUCAUUAUCUUCAUGGAGCAGCACUGGUUCAACUCCUACUGCCAUAGAGUGACAAAUCUCCACGAUGGUUCCAACUUUAAUAGUUCUUGAAUUCAUUAUAUCCGGUUGAAACUUCUUCAGAUCUGUCAUAGUUCAAUCAAGUUAUAGAUCCUCAUUCUCUGCUCCUUAUCUGAUCAUUGCUAUGAAAUCAGGGUUAACUCCU